This 612-nucleotide ribosomal RNA is filed under the name uncultured fungus. Its description in RNAcentral is "eukaryotic LSU rRNA". The stretch from base 186 to 340 matches the Rfam family "5.8S ribosomal RNA". Lineage: Eukaryota; Fungi. The record is from RNAcentral.
GGGCUGUUGCUGGUCCUCGAAUGGGGACAUGUGCACGCUCUGUUUACACAUCCACUCACACCUGUGCACCCUCUGUAGUUUUACGGUCUGGGGGACCCUGUCUUCCUUCUGUAGUUCUACGUCUUUACACACACACUGUAAUAAAGUCUUAUGGAAUGUAUGCCGCGUCUAACGCAAAACAAUACAACUUUCAGCAACGGAUCUCUUGGCUCUCGCAUCGAUGAAGAACGCAGCGAAAUGCGAUAAGUAAUGUGAAUUGCAGAAUUCAGUGAAUCAUCGAAUCUUUGAACGCACCUUGCGCCCCUUGGAUAUUCCGAGGGGCAUGCCUGUUUGAGUAUCAUGAACACCUCAACUCUCAUGGUUUGCCAUGACGAGCUUGGAACUUGGGGGUUUUGCUGGCCUGUGGUCGGCUCCUCUCAAAUGAAUCAGCCUCCCAGUGUUUGGUGGCAUCACGGGUGUGAUAACUAUCUACGCUCGCGGUUGUCCACCAGGUAACCUUUGGUGACAAAGGUUCGCUGGAGCUCACAGAUGUCUCUCCUCAGCGAGGACAGCUUUUUAACGUUCGAUCUCAAAUCAGGUAGGACUACCCGCUGAACUUAAGCAUAUCAAUAA